This is a long non-coding RNA of Manis pentadactyla (Chinese pangolin), 378 nucleotides long. RefSeq lists it as uncharacterized. The transcript has 3 exons. NCBI's taxonomy places the organism in Eukaryota, Metazoa, Chordata, Mammalia, Pholidota, Manidae. The record is from RefSeq and is a predicted model, not a curated record.
AGGUCUCUGCGGGAAUGAGUAGGGAUGAGGUGAGGAGGCUGCCACACAAGGAGACCAUCUGCCUUGAUGGAGAUUUCUUUUCUGCAACUGGAUGUUUUCCUGUCAUGACUGGAUUUCACAAUGACUGCUAAGGAACUGUUUGAGGCAAAAGAAGAUGGGAUUGGUCCACCUGCAUUACAGGAAUUCACCGUGGAAACCACCAGACAGGAAAAAGAGGAGUGGGAGAAAGCAAAUCAGGAUCACUGUGGACUCCUGAGCACAGAUUGCUUAAAUAAAUGAGAAGAUCAAAGGACUGACCAGUGUAUUGAUACUGGUGCUACCGUUCCCAAAAUAUUCCUGAGAUGGGGAUUAAGGAGAACCAUAAUCAGAAACCUAUUA